UACUGGAAACGGUAGCUAAUACCGCAUAACGUCGCAAGACCAAAGAGGGGGACCUUCGGGCCUCUUGCCAUCAGAUGUGCCCAGAUGGGAUUAGCUAGUAGGUGGGGUAACGGCUCACCUAGGCGACGAUCCCUAGCUGGUCUGAGAGGAUGACCAGCCACACUGGAACUGAGACACGGUCCAGACUCCUACGGGAGGCAGCAGUGGGGAAUAUUGCACAAUGGGCGCAAGCCUGAUGCAGCCAUGCCGCGUGUAUGAAGAAGGCCUUCGGGUUGUAAAGUACUUUCAGCGAGGAGGAAGGUGUUGAGGUUAAUAACCGCAGCAAUUGACGUUACCCGCAGAAGAAGCACCGGCUAACUCCGUGCCAGCAGCCGCGGUAAUACGGAGGGUGCAAGCGUUAAUCGGAAUUACUGGGCGUAAAGCGCACGCAGGCGGUCUGUCAAGUCGGAUGUGAAAUCCCCGGGCUCAACCUGGGAACUGCAUUCGAAACUGGCAGGCUAGAGUCUUGUAGAGGGGGGUAGAAUUCCAGGUGUAGCGGUGAAAUGCGUAGAGAUCUGGAGGAAUACCGGUGGCGAAGGCGGCCCCCUGGACAAAGACUGACGCUCAGGUGCGAAAGCG
This 618-nucleotide ribosomal RNA is filed under the name uncultured bacterium. RNAcentral describes it as "bacterial SSU rRNA". It matches the Rfam family "Bacterial small subunit ribosomal RNA", at positions 148 to 761 of the family's 1533-position model. The record is from RNAcentral.